GCCCUGGCGGCUUAAUGGUUAAGUGCUCAGCUGCUAACCCAAAAGCUGGUGGUUCCAAUCCACCCGGGGGCU
RNAcentral lists this transfer RNA (72 nucleotides) under Loxodonta africana (African savanna elephant). It matches the Rfam family "tRNA". Rfam says of the family: Transfer RNA (tRNA) molecules are approximately 80 nucleotides in length. Lineage: Eukaryota; Metazoa; Chordata; Mammalia; Proboscidea; Elephantidae. The record is from Rfam by way of RNAcentral.